AAUCAACGCUGGCGGCGUGCCUCAGACAUGCAAGUCGAACGCUGCUGUUCGCCUUCGGGUGGACAGCGGAGUGGCGCACGGGUGAGUAACACGUAGGUAAUCUACCUUUGGGUGGGGAAUAACAGCCGGAAACGGCUGCUAAUACCGCAUAAUGCAGCGGCAUCACAUGAUGACAGUUGUUAAAGCGAGGGAUCGCAAGACCUCGCGCCUGAAGAGGAGCCUGCGGCAGAUUAGGUAGUUGGUGAGGUAAUGGCUCACCAAGCCUGCGAUCUGUAACCGGCCUGAGAGGGCGGUCGGUCACACUGACACUGACAUACGGGUCAGACUCCUACGGGAGGCAGCA
Molecule: ribosomal RNA, 343 nt
Filed under: uncultured bacterium
Lineage: Bacteria
Description: bacterial SSU rRNA
Rfam family: Bacterial small subunit ribosomal RNA
Source: RNAcentral